AUGCCGCACCUCUCUUUAUAUACCCCCUCCUGCUGCACAUCGCUCCACACACACACACGGACACACCUCUACGCACACUACUGCUAUCUGCUGAUUGCUAUCUCUCUCACAUCCCACAUCAACCCGCUACGCCUUGGGUCACCUCAAGGCCUUCGAGACAGGGGGAGUUCCACGGCGCCCGAGGAUGGACACCGCCAUAGGCGCGGCGAAGUGGGUGCUGGAGAAGGCGAUGGCCCCUGUCACGGAUGGCUUGCUGGAUGGCUUCCCUGGGCAGCUAGCGCCAAUCUCAAUCGCAACAUCGACGACCUCAAGAUGGAGUUGCUGUAUGCGCAUGGGAUGCUCGAGAACGCGCAGGGCAGGGGCAUCCGUGGCCUCGCGCUCAAGGAGCUCCUGCACAAGUUGGAGCAGCUGGCAUACGGAGCAGAUGAUGUGCUGGAUGAGCCGGAGUACUUCCGCAUCCAGGACGUCCUUAAAGGAACCUACCGUGCCGCCAACGUGAAUGACGUGGGUUCCACCCAGGCCAUCCGCAUCAAUGUUGAACACACGGCAAGACACGUCACCAGCAAACUCGUGGGUGCUGCUAGCCAUGGCGAUGACCAAGAAAGUGACCCUAGUGAUCACCAAGAAAAUGAUGGCAAUCAAGGAUGCCUCUCUGGCGUACGCUUGUGUGGCAGGCGGGGCAUCAGCUCCUCUCCACCGACGCCUGCCAACAAGGGGGGUGUCAAGAAGGUUGAUAGCAGAUGCAUGCCCAAGGUCAUCUCAAGUGCUCGCAACGCUGCCUACACAUUCGGUAAACACUUUCCAUGCUACUCUCCCAUAUCUGUCCACGAUGAUAAUCCUCAAGCCCCUGUGAUUGUUGAAAGAAAAAAUGAUGAUCCUCAACCUAUCAUGUCCGAGCAUGCAAGCCAAAGAGACUGUGAUAUAGAAACAAUAGAAUUGCCGUUCAAUAGGGUGCAAAUGUCUAAAACAAUGGAGGAUAUGGUAAAGCAGCUGAAGGAAGUAUGUGCUAAGGUCUCCAUAAUUCUCAAUCUAGACUUUUUGGGCUACAUCCAUACCCGUACCAAAGAAAUUGAUAUAAAUAACAGAUCCAAAACCACAUCUGAGAUUAUAGAACCUCAGUUUUACGGGAGGGGUGACCAAAAGAGGAAAAUUGUAGAUGUCAUUAAUAGUCACGAGUAUUCUUCCUGUCAACUUAACAUGCUUCCAAUUUUUGGAACGGGGGGUAUUGGGAAAACAACUUUUACGCAACACAUAUGCCAAGAAGUGAAAAGCUCUUUCCAGGCUUCAAUUUGGAUAUGUGUCUCUCUCGAUUUCAGUGCAGAUAGGUUGGCACAAGAGAUAGUUCAGAAAAUCGAUAGAGUUGAUGGUGACAAGGAUAACGCAAGUGCCGAAGAACUUAUCCAACAAAGAUUAAAAGCUAAGAGGUUUUUACUCGUCUUGGAUGAUGUGUGGACAUAUCGAGAGGAUGAGUGGAAUAAACUAAUAGCACCUUUCAAAAAGGUUGAAUCCAAGGGUAAUUUCAUUAUAGUCACAACUCGAAUACCAAAGGUAGCAGAAAUGGUUAGGACAACCAAUCAUCAAAUAGAACUGGAAAGACUGGGUGAUACAGAUACCAUGCGUUUCUUCGAAGCAUGUGUAUUUGGUAACGAGCUAGAACCAUGGGGAGAACAUCCUGCAUUACUUAAAACUGGUCACGAAGUAGUGCACCGUUUGAAAGGUUCCCCUCUUGCAACCAAAACUUUGUUUGUAUAUUGUGCUUUGUUUCCGGAAGAUUACGAAUUUGAUAGCAAGGAGUUAGUUCAGCUGUGGAUAGGACUAGAUGAUAAAGAUGUUGAUGAUAGAAUCACUUUUGGCGACUAUAAAUAUGAUUUGAGUGCAUUAGGUAAAAGAUUAAAAGUUGAAAACCUACGUACCCUGAUGUUGUUUGGGCGAUACCAUGGUAGCUUUGCCAAGACCUUUGGUGAUCUGUUUAAAAAAGCUAAAGCCCUUCGUACUAUUUUUCUAUCUGGAGCAUCAUACUCUGUGGAGGACAUUUUGCACAAUUUUUCAGAAACCAUCCAUCUUCAUUACCUAAGGAUCGAGCCAUUAGAAUUAAGAAGGGAACCAACAAGAGAAGAAAAUGUUCUUGAAAACCUUGUACCACAUAGUGACCUUCGAGAUCUGUGCAUUAGAGGGCACGGAGGUACUAGUUGCCCAACAUGGCUAGGUGAGAACCUCUUGGUCAGAAAUUUGGAAUCUCUUCACUUGGCUGACGUAUCUUGGAAAACCUUUCCACCACUAGGAGAGUUCUGGUCGGUUCAUGAGCCCCACGAGCAAGAAGUAGCAAACGUGACUUGGUUCUCUAGACUACGGGAGUUCAAGAUUGUAAGAUGCCCAAAUCUGAGGACAAUGCCUCCUAUCCCUUGGACCAGUAGCCUAUUCUCCACUGAGAUAGCAGAAACAGGCUCAACUUUUGAGAAGCUCACUUACUCAAAAGGAAGGUACGAAAAACCGGGAUUAAGUUUGGAAAUUUGGGCAGCGGAUGGUGCAGAUAGCUUGUUUUGGAAAGCGUUGGCUUUCUGUAAUUUGAGUGCACUACAAAGAUUGUAUCUAUCCAAUUGCCCUCCUUUGCCAUUGAAUAUCAUCCAAAUGCUAACAUGUCUGCAGUGCCUCACUAUAAGUGGCUGUUCGAGUAUUGUUUUGUCGCCAAUCGGAGGCGAGAGCCAUGUCAGAUACGAGUUUCCAUUGGAAGAACUCUGCAUUUUUGAUAGUGGUGCUAGUGGGAAAGAAUUGAGUCAACUGCUCUCUCACUUCCCGAGGCUCACCACGCUGGAAAUAGCUCAUUGCGAAAUGAUAACAGAAGUUGGUGUGUCGGAGCAGCAGAGUGGAUCACAGCAGCAGCAUCAGAGAAAAGAAGAGGAGGAAAUAGUGGCGACGGCAGAAGGAGGACUGCUGCUCUUGCCUACCCAACUACAUAAGUUGAGCGUCCAAAAUUGCAGUCAGCUGAGGAUAGUCCCUAAUUCUGGGGGCGACAACAACCAAGCAGCAGGAGGUCUCCAGCGUCUAUGCUCCCUCCGCAAAGUGAGAUUCGAGAAGUGCCCCAAUUUGCUUUCCUCUUAUUCGGGCUCCUCCUCGUCUUGUUUCCCUUUCCCGACCUCCCUGGAAAAACUCGACCUAUGCAAGAUUGAACAAGUCAAUAUGGCAAUCACAAACCUAUCCAGCCUCGAAGAACUCAAGCUGACCAACAUGGAUGCCCUCACAAAUCUAAGCAUCAGUCCUUCCUCAAAACUGCAUACCCUAAACAUACGAAGCUCCGCAGGAGUUCUGUCCGACUCCAUAUGCAGCCUCCUCUCUACCUCCCUCACCACAUUGAACUUUUUUGGUAGCGAAGAGGUGGAGCCCAUCCUAGGAGAGGCCCUCCUGCUUCUCACCUCCCUCCAAGAGCUCGUAUUUGUUUACUGCGACAAAUUGCAGUUCCUCCCUGCAGGUCUACAUAAACUUGCCAGCAUCAAGUACUUAGGUAUCGCUGAAUGCCCAUCCCUCCAGUCGCUACCCAAGGACGGCCUCCCGAGUUCUUUGCAGCAAUUAGAGAUCACCAGCUGUUCCAUGAAAUCAUUCCCCAAGGACAGCCUCCCGAGUUCUCUGCAGCAAUUACAUAUCUCCCGUUGUUCUGAGCUCGAAUUGCUUCCCACUUUUUCGGACAGCCUCCCGACUUCUCUGCAAAAAUUAGAGAUCUGGGAUUGUCCUGCCAUCAAAUCGGUGCCCAAGGACGCCCUCCCGAGUUCUCUGCAGGAAUUAGUGAUCAGGAUGUGUCCUGAAAUCAAAUCGCUACCGGAGGACGGCCUCCCCAAAUCCCUGCGAGUACUAGAUGUCAGUUACGGCAACAGCGAGGAGCUUAAAAGGCAGUGCCGCAGGGCUUUUCUUUCUCUUCUUGAUUGGUACAUCAUCAGUCGUUCUUCUCAGGCUCAUCAGUUUUUACUUUUUACCAGUGCAAGCACCAAGACUUUAGUCUGUAUCAUCCAUCAUGGCUCUAUCUUGGAGUUGCACGGUUUUGAGCCCUUCAAGGACUCACUCUGUCCAUCCAUGCACACUUCUCACAUGAGGGUCUUGUGGUAUCCUCUGAUGUACAUAAAUCUGGACUCUAUCCUGGAAUUAUACAUUUCUGUACACUUUGUAGUAUUCACUCCAGCACUUGUAGGAUUCCUACAAGUGUUACUGAUCUGGAAGGGUUACGGGAACCACCAGCUGCUGGCAGACCUGGUUCUCCUGAAAUUUCAAUCUACACCUCAUCGGUACUUGGCAUUGCAUUUCCUACAUUGGGAUCUAGCAUACUCCGCCGGUCCACAUGUUGAUCACUUGACCAUUUCCCCCUGCCGCACGAGGUGUGAGGAGGGCAAGAUGUCGAGGGCAAUGGUGCUGCUGACGAUGAAAACCUACUCUCUGAGAAUCUCCUCCGCCUCCUCCAGCAGCCGUCCUCACUCCCCCGUGCCUCCCUCGUCUGCAAACGCCAGCGUCGCAUCCGCUCCCCUCCUCAGUUGCUUCGUCAGCGACCUGAGAGGCUUCUCCUACGCACAUACCAUGGAGGACCCAGCUCGUGUCACCGCCGGGUGCGGUCAUGGGUCCUGGAUCCACGACACUGUUCACUUGGUUGGUUCCGGGGGACAACCAAAAGGGAACGCCGUUCCGCCAGGAUCGCAUCAGGCGAUUGGAGGAGGCGACCGGGAUCCCUUGCGCGCCGCCGGUGACGCCGCCGGUUCCCUCUCUCUCCGUCGGCCGCUCCGGCGGCCGGAGGGAGGGGGAACCCCGCGUCUGUUCUUUAGGUGGGCGUGUGGUAGGGUUAGGGUUGAGGGAGACGCUGCCGAGGCCGUUGCGGUGGUGUCACGUCGGAAUAAAUUUCUCCGGGCUCCGUUCGCGGUCAGGCGAGGCUUUUGCCUUCGUCUAGGAGCCAGCGGUGUUGGGGAUCCCCGGAUCUCGUCGAGGUCGCGGGCUAUGGUGGUUGGAGGUCCAUCGGCACUGGCCGUUUGGAUCCUCAGAUGGGCGAUGGAUGCAGGGAGACGAAGACCUUUCUUCUUCCUUAUUGGUAUGAUUUGUUGCUGCUGUUCUUCUCCUUCCUCUGCGCUGAUACUGGUGGGAGAUCCUGCUUUGUCCGGGCAGAUGGCCCGGCCGCGGUGCUGGACCGGUUGGAUGACUCGAGUUCUCUUCCUUUCGGAAGGGACAAUUUUCGUGGUACUCAAAGCCAAAGAUGGCGACGACUAUUGCAGGUGUGUUGGAUUGAUGUCCAUGCCCUCUCAGCGAUGGUGUCAAGAAAGGAGGAAGCAGCGUGGCGGCAAUUAUACCGUGGUCGAAGAUGAUGACCUGUUUGCGACUGGUUGCAGAUCCUUCUGCUGCAGGGGUCUUCUCUCAAGAUUCAGGGAUGAUGACACAGGGCUCCGGAGAUCUUCUUAUGUUAUGUUGUCUUAG
RNAcentral lists this ribosomal RNA (5439 nucleotides) under Triticum aestivum (bread wheat). RNAcentral's name for it is "partial small subunit ribosomal RNA". The record is from RNAcentral. Lineage: Eukaryota; Viridiplantae; Streptophyta; Magnoliopsida; Poales; Poaceae.